CGUUAUUAAUCCACGACGGACCCGACACGCGAGGAACAUACAUUACUCUCCUCACUGGAGACAGGACAGCUUAGUUGAUAUUGUUGAACUGUUUGGAGUAACUCCGUUAUUAAAAAGAAAGUCAAAAGCUUUAGCUCGACUUUAGUGGAGUCACCAUUUUAUUUGAUUGAGGUUUUUAGACAGUAGCUGUAAGUUGCAUCAGCCGCAGUGAAAGGGCCCCGUCGCGUGAUUGUUCAGAAAGUCAAUAUGGCGGGUGACGACUCGGGUACGACGCUGCGUCAGCCUCACUUGGCCAAACAAGACCUCACAACUCUGGACGUGUCGAAACUGACGACUCUGUCCCCCGAGAUCAUCAGCAGACAGGCCACCAUCAACAUCGGCACCAUCGGCCACGUGGCGCACGGGAAGUCCACGGUGGUGAAGGCCAUCUCGGGCGUUCACACCGUCCGCUUCAAAAACGAGCUGGAGAGAAACAUCACCAUCAAGCUCGGAUACGCUAACGCCAAGAUCUACAUGCUGGACGAGCCCAGCUGCCCUCGACCCGAAUGCUACCGCUCGUGCGGGAGUAGCACCCCCGACGAGUUCCCCACAGAUAUCCCCGGCACCAAAGGCGACUUCAAACUUGUCAGACACGUGUCCUUCGUGGACUGUCCCGGUCACGACAUUCUGAUGGCCACCAUGUUGAACGGAGCCGCCGUCAUGGACGCCGCCCUCCUCCUCAUCGCGGGCAACGAGUCAUGUCCUCAGCCGCAAACGUCUGAGCAUCUGGCCGCCAUCGAGAUCAUGAAGCUCAAGCACAUCCUCAUCCUGCAGAACAAGAUCGACCUGGUGAAGGAGAGCCAGGCCAAAGAACAGUAUGAGCAGAUCCUCACCUUCGUGCAGGGCACGGUGGCCGAGGGCGCGCCCAUCAUUCCCAUCUCGGCGCAACUCAAGUACAACAUCGAGGUGGUGUGCGAGUACAUCGUCAAGAAGAUCCCCGUCCCCGUGCGAGACUUCGCCUCAGAGCCCAGGCUCAUUGUCAUCAGGUCGUUUGACGUCAACAAGCCCGGCUGUGAAGUAGACGACCUGAAGGGCGGCGUGGCGGGAGGGAGUAUCCUCAAGGGCGUCCUCAAGGUGGGCCAGGAGAUCGAGGUGCGGCCGGGCAUCGUGUCCAAGGACCACGAGGGGAAGCUCAUGUGCAAACCCAUCUUCUCCAAGAUCGUCUCCCUGUUUGCCGAACACAACGACCUUCAGUACGCCGCGCCCGGAGGCCUGAUCGGCGUGGGCACCAAGAUCGACCCGACGCUGUGCCGAGCCGACCGCAUGGUGGGUCAGGUGCUGGGCGCCGUCGGGGAGCUGCCCGAGAUCUUCACCGAGCUGGAGAUCUCCUACUUCCUGCUGCGCAGGCUCCUGGGCGUGCGCACGGAGGGAGACAAGAAGGCCGCCAAGGUCCAGAAGCUGUCCAAGAACGAAGUGUUGAUGGUGAACAUCGGCUCGCUGUCGACGGGGGGCCGCGUCAGCGCCGUCAAAGCCGAUCUGGCCAAGAUCGUGCUCACCAACCCCGUCUGCACCGAAGUCGGCGAGAAGAUCGCGCUCAGUCGCCGAGUGGAGAAACAUUGGCGUCUGAUUGGCUGGGGGCAGAUCAGGAGGGGCGUGACCAUCACGCCCACGGUGGACGACGACUGAGAGGAGAAGGCGGUGGGCCGUUGCCGUAGCAACGCUCUCGUCAGGCACGGCCCACGCCGGGCGUUUCCCGUAGACGCAUUUUGGACUUUGUUCAACAUCCUCGGCCGGCUGCGCUCUUCAGUGCAGCAAAAGGCUGAAAGCUGUGGACUGAAUGGGUGCCGACAAUGGGGCCGUGAAAUGCCAACCUUUUAAGGCGAAUGGCCCGUCAGCAGCAUACUGAGAAAAAAACCGAAAGGAAACAUGAACUAGUUCAUUUUUUGGAAAGGUGAACUGAACUUUGAACUGUGUGUAGACCCCAAAAAAAACUUCCUAACACUGGCUAGUUGUGUAACUUAAGACAGUUCUGCUUUGCAAUAGACAGAUUACAAUUUAUCUUCUUUUUUUAAGUGUGAAAUGAUCCAAACUUUGGACAUUCUCAAGUAUAAUGUUUUGUGUCUUUUAUCAAUAAGUAUAUCUUUUGUAUUUACCAACAAUGUGUUUUAUCAACCAGUACAUCUUUAAAUGUGUUUUAUCAACAACACAAACCUGUCGGAGGAAUCUUAAAGGUGGAAUCAACAUGGCCGACGUCAGAAGGCAUUUUUUUACGGGCUUACUCACUUCCGUGGACAUCUUCCGCGGAACAUUGCGUGCCUGACGGAAAACUGCGACUGAAUACGUUGCCGCUGCCGUAGAUGCGCAGAGUCCUCACUCUUCAGGAAAGAAAACAACAACAACACGUUUGUUGAGACAUUAACAGUGCAUGAUUCAAGACACCAAGCCAUUUUCAACACUUUACACAAGGGCAAUCAUUUGAAAUAAAAAUAACACACACACGUAGGGGUACUGAUUCAUUUAAAAAAAACAAAAAAACAUUUGGAGAUAGGAAGUUUCUGCCUGACGCCAGAGAUGAUACGGUGUCUUGUGAACAAACUGUGGCUAAAACGGAUGCCCCGCAAUUGCUUGUUAUUUCCUGAUGGACCUGUUGAAUCUCUGUAUUGUUUGUUCUUUCCAUUUUCAAUUGACAUUCAAAAGUAAAAAAAAUAAAAAAUCUAAACCUG
Molecule: RNA transcript, 2702 nt
Organism: Phyllopteryx taeniolatus (common seadragon)
Lineage: Eukaryota; Metazoa; Chordata; Actinopteri; Syngnathiformes; Syngnathidae
Gene: eif2s3
Gene name: eukaryotic translation initiation factor 2, subunit 3 gamma
Exons: 14
Source: RefSeq, a predicted model, not a curated record